Molecule: ribosomal RNA, 222 nt
Filed under: uncultured bacterium
Lineage: Bacteria
Description: partial 16S ribosomal RNA
Rfam family: Bacterial small subunit ribosomal RNA
Source: RNAcentral
AGUAAUGUAUGGGGAUCUGCCUGAUGGCGGGGGAUAACUACUGGAAACGGUAGCUAAUAUCGCAUAAUGUCUGCGGACCAAAGCGGGGGACCUCCGGGCCUCGCGCCAUCAGAUGAACCCAUAUGGGAUUAGCUUGUAGGUAAGGUAACGGCUUACCUAGGCGACGAUCCCUAGCUGGUCUGAGAGGAUGAUCAGCCACACUGGGACUGAGACACGGCCCAG